AAAGGUAAAAUUAAAUUGUUGUUAUGUAAAAAAGUAAAUUGAAAAUGAAGCUAAAAAAGUUUAAUAAAAAACUAGGAUUAGAUACCCUAUUAUUUAAAUUAAAAUAUUUGAGACCUGGUUAGUAGUAGUUAUUUUCUUAAAAACUAAAAGAUUUGGCGGUAGUUUAAUCUUUUCAGAGGAAUUUGUUUUUUAAUCGAUAAACCACGAAGUAUCUUACUUAAGUUUGUAUACCAUCAUUAUAAGGUAAUUUUAAAAGAAAAAAUUGCUUUAAUUAAAAAGUUUUAAUAAAAUUAGAUCAUGGUGCAGCUGAUAGAUAAGUUAAAAUGAAUUACAAUAAAUUAUUUUAAACGGAGUUAUAAUAAUGAAGGAGGAUUUGAUUGUAUUGCAAGUUUAAUAAGCUUGAAAGAUAUAAGCUCUAAAUUAUGUACAUAUCGCCCGUCGCUUUC
This 446-nucleotide ribosomal RNA is filed under the name Gelasimus borealis. RNAcentral describes it as "partial 12S small subunit ribosomal RNA". Lineage: Eukaryota; Metazoa; Arthropoda; Malacostraca; Decapoda; Ocypodidae. The record is from RNAcentral.